UGCAAGUCGAGCGGAUCGAUGGGAGCUUGCUCCCUGAGAUCAGCGGCGGACGGGUGAGUAACACGUGGGUAACCUGCCUGUAAGACUGGGAUAACUCCGGGAAACCGGGGCUAAUACCGGAUAACACCUACCCCCGCAUGGGGGAAGGUUGAAAGGUGGCUUCCGCUAUCACUUACAGAUGGACCCGCGGCGCAUUAGCUAGUUGGUGAGGUAACGGCUCACCAAGGCGACGAUGCGUAGCCGACCUGAGAGGGUGAUCGGCCACACUGGGACUGAAACACGGCCCAGACUCCUACGGGAGGCAGCAGUAGGGAAUCUUCCGCAAUGGACGAAAGUCUGACGGAACAACGCCGCGUGAGUGAAGAAGGUUUUCGGAUCGUAAAACUCUGUUGUUAGGGAAGAACAAGUGCCGUUCGAAUAGGGCGGCACCUUGACGGUACCUAACCAGAAAGCCACGGCUAACUACGUGCCAGCAGCCGCGGUAAUACGUAGGUGGCAAGCGUUGUCCGGAAUUAUUGGGCGUAAAGCGCGCGCAGGUGGUUUCUUAAGUCUGAUGUGAAAGCCCACGGCUCAACCGUGGAGGGUCAUUGGAAACUGGGGAACUUGAGUGCAGAAGAGGAAAGUGGAAUUCCAAGUGUAGCGGUGAAAUGCGUAGAUAUUUGGAGGAACACCAGUGGCGAAGGCGACUUUCUGGUCUGUAACUGACACUGAGGCGCGAAAGCGUGGGGAGC
RNAcentral lists this ribosomal RNA (731 nucleotides) under Rossellomorea marisflavi. RNAcentral's name for it is "bacterial SSU rRNA". It matches the Rfam family "Bacterial small subunit ribosomal RNA", at positions 56 to 769 of the family's 1533-position model. The record is from RNAcentral. Lineage: Bacteria; Bacillati; Bacillota; Bacilli; Caryophanales; Bacillaceae.